AACAAACGCUGGCGGCGUCGUCUUAAGCAUGCAAGUUGAGCGGCAAGGAGGAGAGAUCCUCCCUAGAGCGGCGGACUGGUGAGUAACGCGUGGGUAAUCUAUCUUAGGCAUGGGGAUAGUCACUAGAAAUAGUGGGUAAUACCGAAUAAGUUCCAUAAGGGGAGGACUUAUGGAAGAAAGGUGCUACGGCACUGGCCUUAGGUGAGCUCGCGUCCCAUUAGCUAGUUGGUGAGGUAAAGGCCCACCAAGGCGAUGAUGGGUAGCCGGCCUGAGAGGGUGUACGGCCACACUGGGACUGAGAUACGGCCCAGACUCCUACGGGAGGCAGCAGCUAAGAAUAUUCCGCAAUGGACGGAAGUCUGACGGAGCGACGCCGCGUGGAUGAAGAAGGCCGAAAGGUUGUAAAGUUCUUUUGCUAGGGGAGAAUAAGUGUGGGAGGGAAUGCCUGCACGAUGACAAGGACUAGCGAAUAAGUCCCGGCCAACUACGUGCCAGCAGCCGCGGUAA
This 507-nucleotide ribosomal RNA is filed under the name uncultured bacterium. RNAcentral describes it as "bacterial SSU rRNA". It matches the Rfam family "Bacterial small subunit ribosomal RNA", at positions 29 to 523 of the family's 1533-position model. The record is from RNAcentral.